GACGAACGCUGGCGGCGUGCUUAACACAUGCAAGUCGAACGGAAAGGCCCUGCUUUUGUGGGGUUCUCGAGUGGCGAACGGGUGAGUAACACGUGAGUAACCUGCCCUUGACUUUGGGAUAACUUCAGGAAACUGGGGCUAAUACCGGAUAGUAGCUCCUGCUGCAUGGUGGGGGUGGGAAAGUUUCGGCGGUUGGGGAUGGACUCGCGGCUUAUCAGCUUGUUGGUGGGGUAGUGGCUUACCACGGCUUUGACGGGUAGCCGGCCUGAGAGGGUGACCGGCCACAUUGGGACUGAGGUAGGGCCCAGACUCCUACGGGAGGCAGCAGUGGGGAGUAUUGCACAAUGGGCGGAAGCCUGAUGCAGCAACGCCGCGUGCGGGAUGACGGCCUUCGGGUUGUAAACCGCUUUCGCCUGUGACGAAGCGUGAGUGACGGUAAUGGGUAAAGAAGCACCGGCUAACUACGUG
Molecule: ribosomal RNA, 468 nt
Filed under: uncultured bacterium
Lineage: Bacteria
Description: partial 16S ribosomal RNA
Rfam family: Bacterial small subunit ribosomal RNA
Source: RNAcentral